This 243-nucleotide long non-coding RNA is filed under the name Elaeis guineensis (African oil palm). RNAcentral describes it as "long non-coding RNA (EGUI_LNC027276)". The record is from RNAcentral. Lineage: Eukaryota; Viridiplantae; Streptophyta; Magnoliopsida; Arecales; Arecaceae.
GUGGGGUGGCUGGCCAGUUCUGAAAAGAAGGGCAAGACUAGUGGAGAGAAUUACUCUGCUUCUAUCUUAUCUGGCUGAGGUAAGCUCUUAUCCAUUUUAUUUAGAGCAAAUUCAGAAUGUAGAGUAGAUAAGGCAACUACUCGAUGCGUAACUACCAUAGCAAAUCCCAAUCUUUUAUCUUGGCUCGACAAAGCUCGAGCCAACCACAUCGACAUACAACCAAGUUUCAGAAAACAUCAGGCA